UGAACACGUACAGCAGGCUUGUGUAUCUGACGGCAAAAGGGUUAUUGUCAGAUUAAAGUUGUAUCUUUAGGGUUUUGUUUGAAAAAUUGAUAAAUUAAAAAUCAAAAGAUUCUCGAUUGCAGCAAAAGGCUGACGGAGUUAAAAAGUUAACAGAGUUAAAAGUUACUGCAAUUUUAAGGCUAAAAAUAAAUUAUUACACGUGUCUUAUUUCUAUUGGUGGGUACACGAGCCAGCUUGUGUACCGGGUACCUACAAAAAUUUCUCCAAAACUUGGGGUCUUGCAUGUUUAAUAAUUCAAAAUCAUGAGAUAAGUUAGAAAAAUUGCCUGCACAAAAUUGUAAAGAGGUUGUCAAUUAACAAGUCAAAUAAAAAAAGGGUUUCCUUUUGGUUUGAAUUCACUAAACUACUUUGGUUUGUGAUGGCAUCUCUUUGGACCACCAGGAAUCUCACCAUGGCUGAUGCCCCAAAUCCAUUUCAACUCCCCAAUAUUACCAAGUUUAAGAUUGCUCUCUGUCAGUUGUCAGUUACUUCAGACAAGAGCCAGAAUCUUGAUCGUGCCUCUCGUUUGAUAAGAUUUUCUGUCGAGCAAGGUGCAAAGCUGCUUGUUUUACCAGAAAUGUGGAACUGUCCUUAUUCAAGUGAUUAUUUUGCAAAAUAUGCUGAGGAUUUUGACAAUAGAGAUGCCUCGCCAACAUUGUCCAUGUUAUCUGAAGCUGCUUGUUGCCAUGGGAUCACAAUCAUAGGAGGAUCUUUGCCUGAAUGGGAUCAUGGUCGGUUGUACAAUACUUGCUGCAUAUUUGGACCAGAUGGAAAGCUGAAAGCUAAGCACAGGAAGGAAAAUACAUCUGUUUGACAUUGACAUUCCAGGAGAGAUUUCAUUCAAGGAAUCUGACACCUUCACUGCAGGGGAUCAACCUACCAUUGUGGACACAGAAGUUGGUCGAAUCGGAAUAGGAAUUUGUCAUGAUAUACGAUUUCCUGAACUUGCUGCAUUAUACAGGAAAAGAGGGGUUGACAUCAUAUGCAAUCCUGGGGCAUUCAACGUGAGCACUGGUGAAUUGUUGUGGGAGCUGGUACAGAGAGCUAGGGCCGUUGAUAACCAGUUAUUUGUGGCAACUUGCUCACCCGCUCGAAACUCUACCGGUUCUUAUGCAACUUGGGGCCAUUCCACUCUAGUUGGACCGUCUGGAGAGAUAAUUGUUACUUCAGGGCAUGAGGAAACUACUGUCAUUGCGGAGAUUGAUUACUCUAAUAUUCAGCUCCAAAGAAAGAGUCUCCCACUUGAUGAUCAAAAGCGAGAAGACAUCUACAAGUGUAUCGAUGCACAUGAAUUAAAUCCUUGAAGGAUGGAAACUCGUCAUAACACUAGCUUCGCCACAAGAACUGCAAAACUCAAGAAUAACUCUGUUUUGUGCAGAAAAUUGUUUGGUGGCAUCUACCACUUGAGUUAGAAACAUGUGUUUAAAAUAUGUUCCCCACAUGUUAUGUUAUGGGAAACUGUCAAGUUGGAACAGAGGUCCAUAUAUACAUACAUGUGAGCUAAACUGGCAAUCUAGUAUUAUAAAACGCCAAACGUUUUUUUAAAUAAAUAGU
Molecule: non-coding RNA, 1593 nt
Organism: Prunus mume (Japanese apricot)
Lineage: Eukaryota; Viridiplantae; Streptophyta; Magnoliopsida; Rosales; Rosaceae
Source: RefSeq, a predicted model, not a curated record